UGUGAUCUCCACCCGGUGGCUCCCGGCCGGUUCGAGCCUGACUUCACUUCCCCGAUGUCAGGAACGGCCCGGAAGGGAACCUCCGUGUGGAGCAGGGAAAGG
Regulatory RNA element from Tessaracoccus flavescens, 102 nucleotides. It matches the Rfam family "mraW RNA". The record is from Rfam. NCBI's taxonomy places the organism in Bacteria, Bacillati, Actinomycetota, Actinomycetes, Propionibacteriales, Propionibacteriaceae.